UGACGGAACAAAGUUAUUCUAAAAAGACAUUU
Molecule: non-coding RNA, 32 nt
Filed under: Mus musculus (house mouse)
Lineage: Eukaryota; Metazoa; Chordata; Mammalia; Rodentia; Muridae
Source: RNAcentral